CCUACGGGAGGCUGCAGUGAGGAAUAUUGGUCAUUGGGCGCGAGCCUGAACCAGCCAAGUAGCGUGAAGGAUGACUGCCCUACGGGUUGUACACUUCUUUUAUAAAGGAAUAAAGUGAGGCACGUGUGCCUUUUUGUAUGUACUUUCUGAAUAAGGAUCGGCUAACUCCUUGCCAGCAGCCGCGGUAAUACGGAGGAUCCGAGCGUUAUCCGGAUUUAAUGGGUUUAAAGGGAGCGUAGAUGGGUUGUUAAGUCAGUUGUGAAAGUUUGCGGCUCAACCGUAAAAUUGCAAUUGAUACUGGCAGUCUUGAGUACAGUUGAGGUAGGCGGAAUUCGUGGUGUAGCGGUGAAAUGCUUAGAUAUGACGAAGAACUCCGAUUGCGAAGGCAGCUUACUAAACUGCAACUGACAUUGAGGCUCGAAAGUGUGGGUAUCAAACAGGAUUAGAUACCCGUGUAGUC
Molecule: ribosomal RNA, 460 nt
Filed under: uncultured bacterium
Lineage: Bacteria
Description: partial 16S ribosomal RNA
Rfam family: Bacterial small subunit ribosomal RNA
Source: RNAcentral